Molecule: long non-coding RNA, 377 nt
Organism: Oncorhynchus tshawytscha (Chinook salmon)
Lineage: Eukaryota; Metazoa; Chordata; Actinopteri; Salmoniformes; Salmonidae
Source: Ensembl
UUUCAACCCGAUUAUCAUCCGGUUUCUGGAAAAACUUACUGAGGAGCAAUGGAGGCAGUUAAGCAUUGGCAGGAUGGACCCUGUGAUGAGGGCAUUGCUUGCAGAGAUGUGCCUGGAGAUUGUGCGGUUUGUAUCUGAGGCCAUCCUGGAGGUCAUCAUCCCUGCAAUUUUCCGUUUUGUACGGAUAUACAGCCAUGGGUCUCCAGUAUCCGGCAAGUCUCUGACAGAAUCAGAGAGAUCCUCUAGCACAAACCUGAAGGUUCGCAAGAGAGGCAGCAGCAAAUCCUCAAGGUCUUGCACGGCCAAAUCAAGCUCCUCUCGUAAUGGGCCUGCAGAGUCUGAAAAUAAAGACUGCUUCUACAGAAUUCCUUUGAAGA